This 435-nucleotide ribosomal RNA is filed under the name uncultured bacterium. RNAcentral describes it as "partial 16S ribosomal RNA". It matches the Rfam family "Bacterial small subunit ribosomal RNA", at positions 341 to 792 of the family's 1533-position model. RNAcentral also lists the same sequence under 1 other name. The record is from RNAcentral.
ACGGGAGGCAGCAGUGGGGAAUAUUGCACAAUGGGGGAAACCCUGAUGCAGCGACGCCGCGUGAAGGAAGAAGUAUUUCGGUAUGUAAACUUCUAUCAGCAGGGAAGAUAAUGACGGUACCUGACUAAGAAGCUCCGGCUAAAUACGUGCCAGCAGCCGCGGUAAUACGUAUGGAGCAAGCGUUAUCCGGAUUUACUGGGUGUAAAGGGUGCGCAGGUGGUUUGGCAAGUCAGAAGUGAAAACCCGGGGCUCAACUCCGUGGAUUGCUUUUGAAACUGUCGAACUAGAGUCCAGGAGAGGUAAGCGGAAUUCCUAGUGUAGCGGUGAAAUGCGUAGAUAUUAGGAGGAACACCAGUGGCGAAGGCGGCUUACUGGACUGGUACUGACACUGAGGCACGAAAGCGUGGGGAGCAAACAGGAUUAGAUACCCUGGUA